UUGAGUGGCGGACGGGUGAGUAACGCGUGGGUAACCUGCCCUGUACAGGGGGAUAACAGUCAGAAAUGACUGCUAAUACCGCAUAAGACCACAGCACCGCAUGGUGCAGGGGUAAAAACUCCGGUGGUAUGGGAUGGGCCCGCGUCUGAUUAGGCAGUUGGCGGGGUAACGGCCCACCAAACCGACGAUCAGUAGCCGGCCUGAGAGGGCGACCGGCCACAUUGGGACUGAGACACGGCCCAAACUCCUACGGGAGGCAGCAUG
This 264-nucleotide ribosomal RNA is filed under the name uncultured bacterium. RNAcentral describes it as "partial 16S ribosomal RNA". It matches the Rfam family "Bacterial small subunit ribosomal RNA", at positions 91 to 353 of the family's 1533-position model. The record is from RNAcentral.